GAUGAACGCUGGCGGCGUGCUUAACACAUGCAAGUCGAACGGAAAGGCCCAAGCUUGCUUGGGUACUCGAGUGGCGAACGGGUGAGUAACACGUGGGUGAUCUGCCCCGCACUUCGGGAUAAGCCUGGGAAACUGGGUCUAAUACCGGAUAGGACCACUUCUUGGAGGUUGUGGUGGAAAGUUUUUUCGGUGUGGGAUGAGCUCGCGGCCUAUCAGCUUGUUGGUGGGGUAAUGGCCUACCAAGGCGUCGACGGGUAGCCGGCCUGAGAGGGUGUACGGCCACAUUGGGACUGAGAUACGGCCCAGACUCCUACGGGAGGCAGCAGUGGGGAAUAUUGCGCAAUGGGCGCAAGCCUGAUGCAGCGACGCCGCGUGGGGGAUGACGGCCUUCGGGUUGUAAACUCCUUUCGCUAGGGACGAAGCGCAAGUGACGGUACCUAGAGAAGAAGCACCGGCUAACUACGUG
This 466-nucleotide ribosomal RNA is filed under the name uncultured bacterium. RNAcentral describes it as "partial 16S ribosomal RNA". It matches the Rfam family "Bacterial small subunit ribosomal RNA", at positions 28 to 507 of the family's 1533-position model. The record is from RNAcentral.